CGACUGUUUGUCUUUCAAGUCGGCGUCGCCUUUUUCCAGUUACAGUGGAAGGUUCCCAAAUCCCUUUAGCGUGUACACCUCACAUCAGGUUACACGCCGCCUGCAGCUUUCUGCUCCACACACGCAAUUACUCCUUAAUAUUGCAUAUGAAAGAGAUAUUUUUGCCGAACUGUGCUGGAGUAAGAUGCACGGCAGAAAAUGAAGACGGGGGUGGGAAUCACGGAAUCCCCGCUAUUACUGGAGAAUGGGUCCGGCCGGGGACGAGAGAACAAACCAAAAAGCCCCAUUCUGGUGCUUUGAUUCAAGUAAAUGAAGAGAACAUCUUCCCGAAAGCAAACAGAUUGCCGGGCCCGUCGGAGCAGAAUUAGAUUCUUGUCUUCUCAGAUGAACGCCGCAUCCUCUACACGAUGACAGGAAAAUGGGGAAUAUCAAUUCAGGGUGAACUGAUACAAGUUAGUAUCCCUGCUGUCCAGCUCUUCCUCGGGGACACACUGGGUCUCUUCAUCUCCCGCUCUCGAUGAGGAGAGCUGUAAACCCGAAACCGUGGCGCCAGUAUUCUACGUUAAGUGUCCCCAGGCCUCCCAAAUCCCAUAACAGAUGUCAGAGGGAAACAAACUAUUCACUCACACGGACAGCUUUAUCUUUCCCGAUCGCAACCUGUCAAAAAAAAAAAAGCCGAUACUAU
Long non-coding RNA from Gasterosteus aculeatus aculeatus (three-spined stickleback), 685 nucleotides. Lineage: Eukaryota; Metazoa; Chordata; Actinopteri; Perciformes; Gasterosteidae. The record is from Ensembl.